RNAcentral lists this long non-coding RNA (7671 nucleotides) under Capsella grandiflora. Its description in RNAcentral is "long non-coding RNA (CGRA_LNC000683)". The record is from RNAcentral. Lineage: Eukaryota; Viridiplantae; Streptophyta; Magnoliopsida; Brassicales; Brassicaceae.
AACCAAUAGACUUCUGUAUGAGAUUCUAGCACCAAAUUUCUCGAUUUGGCCUGCACCGAUCUCAUACAUGAAGUUUGUGCGUUUGAAAUAAUCAAUAAAUCCUGCACAGAUAAAAUCUUUUGGGUUCACAUAUAUAUGAGGUAUCCACGAUGCUGUUUUUGAUUUGUCUUCUUGAUCCUGUAAUAAUUUAAGACAAACUUUGCUUAUAAGAAAAUCAACCAUAAUCUCGUAAGGGGAUGAAAAAUUUGACUAAUAAGAUGAAUUCUUAAUGACUCAACUACUAUGGUUGAUUAAACAAGUUAUCUUGACUCAUAAAGAUGAUUUUAGAUUACCUGGAGAUGGGUUAUGGCCAUGGCAAUGUUGCCUUUGACAACACUCUUGGCGAUUUGAAACAUAUCUUUAAGAAAAUGUCCUCCAGGUAGCUGCUCUAGAGGAAUAGAGGAGAUGGGUGGGUUGAAUAUGUAACUUUCGAGGAGGGAACCAAAACUUGUCAUGGUCUUUCCAGCAAGCAAAACUAGGGCAGCUCCCAAAGAGUGUCCAGCAAGCCAUAUAGCUGAUUCGCUAUGUUCGUCCACCAUACUACGGAUUUUUUCAACAGCGUACUUGGACCUGCCACCUCGAUGAAGGUUGUUGAAGAUGAUUUUGAGGUUAAGUUUCAUGUCAGACUUCCAAGUUUUUCGUUUUAGAACCGUGCCGCGAAAGGCAAUCACAUAGCGUGGAACUUUUACAUUUGGGCUGUUUUGGUAAACGUUGUAGCUCUUGUAUUCGAAAACGGCACCAAAUAUAGUUUUGUCAUCGUCGGUCAAGGUAUCCAUCAAAUCGAAUUCGAAAAAUUCCCACCAAGGAUUAGCUAGAAGUUGCGGAGCACUCCGCAAGCCAAGUUUGUACCUUUUUUUGCUGCUGAGAAGCCUAUCCCUUUCUAAUAUGUACACUCCAUUUACCAAACAUGAUACCACUGUGGUUCGGUGGUGCGAAUUGGUCCUAUUUAAAAUAAAAUUAGAACCAAUCAAUUAUACUUGAAUCAGUUACGAGAUAAGAUUUUUUUUUUUAUAUGCCAUUUGGAGCUUUUGUCCUUUGUUCUUACACGUAAAAACACAACUCAAAAUAUUAUGCUUGCGUUUAUUAGGUUCCAUUUUUUUUAGAAUAUAGUUUUUGUUAUUAAAUUUAUCUUUAUGAAUUUUUUUUUUCUCUCAAUUGUUAUCUAUAUGAAUAUAGGUAAUUUCAAAAGCAAAAGGGUAAAAAAAUGGUUAGACACGAAUAGCUUUUUGUACAAUAAUCUCAUGAUGAUACUUAGAAUCUGCUUAAAUAAUGUUUUUAACUUUAAAUGAGUACAUCAUCUGUAUAUGUAUCAUCGAUACUGAUUUGCGAACUUUUUAUACUUUUGAAACUCCUGCAUGCGGCACAUGAGUUAAUAUAGUUUGAAUAUAUUAAAAAUUUUCCAUCGUCGAUCAAUUAUAAAAAUCUUUGUAACACCGUAAAAUUAUAGAAACUGUUAUAUAAUUUGUUUUAUAUAUAAUUUUAAAAGGAAGUAUAAAAAAUGUUACCAAUCAAUAGAUUUGAGAUGGGAUGGGCCAGAAGUGUAGAAAUCAUCAUCUGUAUCUGAAGCCUUCAGUCCUCGUCCCAUUUCUUUUUCUCGUCCUCUCUUCUUCUUUUGCUAUAGCAGAAAAUAAUAGAAAAUGGUGGAAAUAAGCAAAACAAAAGUGAAGAAAACAAACUAAAGAGUUCUUUUUUUUUUUGUUCUUAAGAGUUUAACAAAGAAACUAAUGAUUUUAUAUUGGUGCUACAAAGUACGAGUAAAAGAAGACUUUUUUGGAUCCGGAGACUUUGAGAUUGCAGAGACGUACGUAGCUGCCUAGCAAAUGGAUGAAAUGGGAUCCACUCUCGAAUUGGAACACUUCUGUAGUCUCAGAAGUCGUCGUUGGUGGGUUCUAUGUUAUUAUUCUAAUUCAAGGAAUUGUCGAGGAAGCUUUAAAGAUAGUUUUUGGAAUUUUCUUUUGUUCACUUAUAGUCAACUUCGUCGGAAAAAAAGACUAAAAAUGGAAUUUAGUCAGAUAUUAUUGUAAAAGAAUAAAAAACAUAAUAUUGAUAAAACUGGUUAGGUUUGUAAAAACACUUAUCAGAUAAAUUUUGUUUUGUAUAAUUCAGAUAUCGUGUUUCGUAUUUGACAUGUUUUAUGUCCACUGUGAUAGAGUAAAAUAUAAAAACUCUAUUUAUCCUAUUUUAAUACAAAGCUAACCAAUUAUUAUUCUACAUGGUAUAAGUUUUUCAUUUGUAAGUUGCACACUACGUACAAGGGCCAUAUUCUUUUUUCACUUCACUAUCAUGUAUUAUCUGUAAUAUUGUUUUAAGAGGGUCCGUAUUUAUGUAGAAUAGAGACAUAUUUUUUGGGAUGUACUUAAGAUCCAAAAUUGAAGAUAGAACUUUCUUCAUUUUAUCAUAGGUCUGAAAUAUUUGAUGACUUUUCUCAAGUCAAGUCAUGUGUAACUUUACUUAUCUGUACAAAUUAAACUAGUUGACCAAAAAAAACAAAAAAUAGAACAGCCAUUAUGGUUGUCUGAAAGCGUGAUGAUAGAUUUAUUAUACUACAUAUGUAGUGGUUGCUAUAUCUUAUAAGGUCAAAAAUUGUUUUCCAAACACAUUGUUACGGCUUUAAAAGAAUAAUGGGCGUUUUCUAUUUGAUAAAAGAUUUGUGUUCUUUCUGUGAGGUUUUUUUUUAACACACACAAAGAUUUAUAUAGCGUGUAUAAACAAAUCCAAUACAACUAUUGAGACAAAUUAAACCUUUUACCCAAAAAAAGAAAAAAAUAUUGACACAAAGAAAAAAUAAUUUUGUACAUUAUUUCGAUGAACUAAUCCAAUAUAUAUGUCGUGGUGGCUUUCUGUGAGUUUAUAUAUUGAUUGUUCUUACAAUUCCUCUGUAUAAUAAAUUAAUUCAACUAGGUAAUUAAUUUUUAUUUUUUUCUUUGUCAGCUAGGUAAAUAACUUUUACGUGUGAACAUCAAAACACUUUAUCUUGUACGUACAAACAUUUGAGGAUAUUUUUAUCAAAAGAGAAAGAAACAAAAAAAUUGAAAAUAUACUGAAGCGUUGAACAAAGUAUAGAGUUGACAAGAAAGAGAAAAGACUAAAGCGUUGAAAGCCAUGAACGAAAUUAGUAUUGAAUCAUUCGUUCACUGGAAAUAGUUGAAGCAUAGGAUUCCACCAUUGAUGAAUCCCAUGAUUUUCAUGAAUGUCCGACGAUACAGUCUUGUUUAUCCACAUAAUGACGGAUGGAAGAAAAUGAAGAUGAUCUGAUGGUUCUUCUCUUCCGAAACUCGAACACUUACGCCUAACUGAGUAUGCAGCAGCCAAGUUCGCGAUCUUACCGAGUCCCACCUUUGUCAUUUUGACUAUGUGUUUGGAAUUACCAAUAUAUUCUGAGCUUAUCGGAUCUGAUUGGUUCACAAACAAAUAAGGUUUCCAAGAAGCUAAAUUCUUAUAUUGUUGACCUUCUUGAUCCUGUAACAAUUGGAGGUAAGAAUUGAGAAUAACCUUUUAAAAAUCGUUAAGGAUUAUUUAUAUAAAGCUGUUUAUGUUAUGGGAGAUAUUAUUUCUGAACAAGUACCACAAGUAUAAUAUAAAGUUUCUUAUAGACUAAAGAUACCAUUGGUAAAAUUCUGGAAUUUUUCACUGUUAACCAAAAAGAAAACUUUAUAGAUACCUCAUCAAAGGAUAAGACUUUCGCCAUGCCAGCUUUGAAGAUAUCCCUGGUGAAUCGAUACGUGAAAUUAAGUGUGUCAUUGAAACCCAAGUGCUCUAGAGGAAUCAAGGAGAUAGGUGGGUUGAAGAUGUAAGCCUCAAGAAAAAGUCCAGACUUGGCCAUGGUCUUUCCCGCGAGUAGUGCUAGGGCAGCUCCUAGAGAAUGUCCAGCGAUCCAGACAGUUGUGUUUCCAAUUUUGGACACGAAAGAUUGGAUUUCUUCAACGAUAUGCAUAGAUUUAUCCCCCUUCUGGAGGAUCUCGAAUGGUAAACGGGAGUUUUGCAUCAGAUCAUUAACAGCAAAAACACUUAGGACAGUUCCGCGUAAAGCAAUCACGUAACGCGGAGGUACGAUCGAGUUGGGGGUAAUCUCAUAAUUGAUCAUGUUUUGGAAGACAGCACCGUAUAUGGAGACGUCAGUUCGGUCCGUGAAUUUGUGGAUUAAAGUGAAGUUGAAACUCUCCCACCAAGGUGGGGCUAAUGACUCGGAACCAAUUCGGUUGUCUUGCCUAUCUCGUUCCAUUGCGUAAACUCCUUGCACCAAACACGACAUCAAUGAGGUUCGGUGGUGAAAAUUGUUCCUAUAUAAGAAACAAACCAAUUCAGACCAUAGAAACGAUCGAGUAGAUCGAUUUGGAUAUUGUCUCUUUCUUUUUUUUUUGUAUCAUUAUGAAAUGUAUUAGAUGAAACGAAAUUUACCAGUCAAAAUAUGGAAUUCGAGGGGGACCAUUACGGCUUAGAGCGUCACUGCGCGAUGAGUCGAGGAUUCCCAUCAGCUCCUCUUUCACACUUUCGUCUUCAAAUUCUUCUGAUUGCUUAUAUGUAAGUAUUGUAAUCAAUCCGCGUACUAAAUACAAAAAAAAAAAAAAUUGGAUGUAACUAAUAGAAAUAUAUAUUAACUUAAAACAUAUUUAAAUAUAAAACUGAAAGUGUAUAGUGGAAUUAGUGAAAUUUAUAAACAGAAUUGAAUCUAAUGGAGUCACAGGUAUGUCAGGGUUUGGAUUCUGAAAGGCCGUCGAGCAUAAUCGAAUUCAACCGGAUAUGAUGAAGUACACUAAAAAAAUCAUUUCCACCAAACAAGAAUUAUAGAGAGUUCAUGUACAUUUUUGCAGAAACAACUUUUAGGUAUAUAACUAUAUAUAGAGAAAUAGCAAAUAGGUAACCGCAUAGGCAUAAAAAUGAUGUCAUAAAAGUGAUGUCAUAAAUAUAUAGUACUAGUUUGACUGUUUGAGGAAUGGUCGAGGAAGUUUAGAAAAAGUUAUAGAAAUUUUACUUUGCUCACACAUUAUUGAGUCAAAUAAAAAACUUGGAAAAUUUUAGUCAGCAGAAUUCUUAGAUAACAAAAGACAUAAUGUUGCUGAAAUUGGUUUGGUUACUAAUUUUUUUUUCAAUGAAAUUUGUUUUAUCUUAAUUUAAUUAAAGUACUAUAGUAUAUUGACAUGUUUAGUGACCAUUUUGAUAAACUGAAAUAUAAAACUAUAAAUAUAUUACGUUUGAUGCAAACUUAUAUAACCAAUUAUUCAAAAUAUGUUUAAUGUUACUAUAGCACAUUUAGAAUAUGUACAUCUAUACUUUUAUUGAUUUUAAAAUUAUACAUGUGGAUUAAACAAAAUCCAUAAACAAACAAAUUUAUAGAUUAUCAGUAGAAAUUUAUUCAAAAAAUAUUCAGUAUUAUCAUUGCAAGUUGCAACACAAGGUCCAGUGUGGGGGUGCAUGCAUAGUUUCUUAGAGGGUCCGAAUGUCGUCGAACGAAUAAUAAAGACAUAUUCUUGGGAAGUAGUAAGAUCCACACAGUGAAGAUAAAACUUUCUUCCUUCUAUGGACUUCUCUCUUUCCUAUGGUCACGUACUCUUGCUUGUUGCCAACACACUAGUCCAAAUCAUCAACAUGACGAGGAUUUAAAAUUCCUCCGAAGACUAGUCCAAAUCAUUAUUUGCUUUACCAAUUUUGUUUAUUCACCAAAUUCUCAAAGAUAGAAAAUCAUAAAACAUUUUUUUUUUAUCAAGAGAUGUGAAUUAUAUCUUUAAAACAUCUUAUUUUUAUAAUCACAUGGAAGUUUCUCAAUAAGGUAACCUAACUAUCAAAAACAAGUAUCCACUUUUAUUGCUUCGUUAAGUUUAGUUCUAGAAUUUAGUUAGUUAGCUAACUAGCCCUUUAAGUGACUACUUAUAACUUUAAGCAGACAACACUUAACAUAAUAUUUGAGUUAUAUUAUCUUUGUUGUAAAAAUUAAAGUAGUUUUAAGAAGAAUAUAAUUAUCAACAAUUACAUGAAAAAAAAAAUCAAAAACAUGGGAAGAAAAAGACAUACAUGAAAUAGAAGACAACAAAAAAAAAAGUAGAAGAAAUGGAAAAGAUCACUUGAACAAGAUACAAAAGCUGAUUAUCCUAACCAAAUACAAUAUAUCCAGCACAUAUUGGAUCUGCUGGGUUUACAUAUAAAUAUGGUAUCCACGAUGUUGUUUUGGGAUCGUCUUCUUUAAGCUGUAAUAAUUUAAGACAAACAGUUUCUUGUUAGAAAAUCAGCCAAAAUCAACAUAUAUUGAAACUGUGUUAGUUAACUAUUUAAAGGAGAUAAGUCAGCCGAUAUCGUGGUAGUGACGGAACAUCAUAGUUGAGUAAUAUGACAUCGUCUCUUGAGUUUAGGAUUCUUAAAUCAAGAAUUGCUAAAGCAAACACUUAUCGAAUCUUCAAUUCGAGAACCCUAAACUCACCAAACGUUUUACUCAACUCCGAUAUCCCGUUAAUGUGACGGUGUCGGUUGACUCAUCGCCGUUAAGUGGUUAACUAAUAUUGUUUUGGUAUAUGUUGAUUUUGGCUAAUUUCAUAUAGUUUAGGUUGAGAAUUUUAUUUUUUUGAGUUUAGUUUGCUAUUUGUCGGGUAUAGUAGUUUGGGUAUAAAAGUACCGCCAACAAGGUUGAUUUUCGUUAUUUUCCCCACAUGUUGUAUCACGAGAUGGGUUUGUAUAGAUAUUACUAAAAUAUUAAGAUAUCAUUAAUCAUUUACUUCUGAACAGGUUAAAACUUCAUUAUACUAACCAAUAUGAGCUAGACAUGAAUUAAGUUUGAUAUUAUGCAAUCAUAAUGUUUUUUAAACAAAUUCUAGCAUAAUUGAAUUUAAAAAAAUAAGUUGUUAAAAUCUAGUAUCAUAUUUAAUAAGUUAUGUAAUUAACAGAAAAAUAUUUGAAUACAAAAUAUGCUCACGUAAAUGUAGGAUGAGGAUCCAACCAAGACCAGAGUAUAGCGUAUAAAAUUAGAUUUUCAAUUCAUUUGUACUUUUUUUUUUGGUUUUUUUUUUUUGUGAAAACCAGUUUAAAACAGUUACAUGGAAAUUCAAACAAAAAAAAAAUUGAAAGAAAGAAAAAAUUACUUAUAAUGUCAAUUGCUUUAGCUUUUCCAUUUUGUGAGAUCUAAUGCGAUAGCUUUCCCAAUUUACCCUCACGGCCGGGUUUGCCUCCCACCACUGGUGAAGCGCAUGAGCUGGCGUAGACUUAGUCGGUUCGUUAUUAUUUACAGUCAUUGCUGCUGAUGGAAGAACGUAAAGAGGUUCUUUUGACAAUUUCGAAGGUGGCGGUGAUCUCAUUACUUUUCCGACCAAUAGACUUGCAUAUGAGACGCCAGCAGCAAGUAUCUCGAUUCCGCCUGCACCAAUCUUAGACAUGAAGCUUCUGUGUCUAAGGUAAUGAAUAUAUCCUAAACAGAUUGGAUCAUUGUGGUUCACAUAUAUGUGAGGUAUCCACAAUGCUGUUUUUGAUUUGUCUUCUUGAUCCUGUAAUAAUUUAAGACAAACUUUUCUUAUAAGAAAAUCAACUACAAAAAAAAAACUCAUUCAUUAUAGUAUCGCAAGUGGAUGAAACUCUGACUAUAAUGACUCAACUGUCAUAGUUAAUUAAACCGGUUAUCUUGACUCUUACAGAUGAUUUAAAGUUUACCUG